This 301-nucleotide ribosomal RNA is filed under the name uncultured bacterium. RNAcentral describes it as "partial 16S ribosomal RNA". It matches the Rfam family "Bacterial small subunit ribosomal RNA", at positions 509 to 807 of the family's 1533-position model. The record is from RNAcentral.
CAGUCGCCGCGGUAAAACGAAGGGGGCUAGCGUUGCUCGGAAUGACUGGGCGUAAAGGGCGCGUAGGCGGCGAUCAAAGUCAGGCGUGAAAUUCCUGGGCUCAACCUGGGGGCUGCGCUUGAUACUUGGUUGCUUGAGUGGGGAAGAGGGUCGUGGAAUUCCCAGUGUAGAGGUGAAAUUCGUAGAUAUUGGGAAGAACACCGGUGGCGAAGGCGGCGACCUGGUCCUUGACUGACGCUGAGGCGCGAAAGCGUGGGGAGCAAACAGGAUUAGAUACCCGUGUAGUCCCUGUCUCUUAUAC